Molecule: long non-coding RNA, 352 nt
Filed under: Mustela putorius furo (domestic ferret)
Lineage: Eukaryota; Metazoa; Chordata; Mammalia; Carnivora; Mustelidae
Description: lncRNA (ENSMPUG00000030907.1)
Source: RNAcentral
GGCGCGGAGAGAGCCGGAAAGCUGCUGUCCACGACACCACCACGCUGCGGGAGCCGCUGGAGGCACUGAGGUACUGCAGUCCCUCACCUGGAAUCGUUGGCUCCUAGGAAGCUCCUACUUGCCAGCCCUGGUCAUCGUCUCAAUCUCAGCUAACAGGUGCAAGAACCACGUCCUGACCAUUGGAGUCCAUACCCCAGUCUCGUUUUAACAGACACGUGCAGAGGGAAGAAAAGUUAUUAUCCUGGAUGGGAUUUUGAGCUACCAGGAUAAACUUUGACACAAGGAUGAUGUCAGUCUAUUGGAAAACUGUUGCAAAACCGCCUUUCUACUUCUCUAGCAGUUUAUCUUUCCA